GAUAAAUAUAUCAAUAUAUAUUUGUUAUAGAUAAAUAUAAUAUAUAUAUAGGUAUAAAUAUUAUUGAUAUAUUUAUAAUAUAUAAAUUGAUAUAUUUGUCUAAUUGCAAUAUAUAAGGUGUGUUCAAAUUAAACUUGUUCAAAACCAUCACUGAUUAGUCAUGAAUGCUCCAUGAAGGCCGAGAGGAAAUGGUGGAUUUGCCAUGUCCUGAUGAGGUGCACAAAGUUAAGACUGAUAGUUUAAUUUUAGACAUUGACAAUGUGAUUAAGGUGACCAAUCAAUGACAGUCAUCUUCGACACUACUUUUCUCUGUACACAGCUAUUAUUCUCCAAUAAAUCUCCACUGGCUUACAUCCCACAGUUGUUAAAAACUGAAUUAAAGCUUGCAUAUCCUGCUUGGACAGGUUUUCAAUCAUACCAGUCAUCUUCAACAUUAUGCUGCACAUUUAAAAAUGAUGCAAGUGCACAACUUAAGAACAUUGUGCAUAUGCCACACAUACUUCUUCACUUAAACAUUCGCAUUCCAAAACUGAAAUGUCAUUUCAAAUGUC
RNAcentral lists this long non-coding RNA (551 nucleotides) under Androctonus crassicauda. Lineage: Eukaryota; Metazoa; Arthropoda; Arachnida; Scorpiones; Buthidae. The record is from RNAcentral.